AAAGCUUGACAGACAAUCGCUGGUGGCCUUCGUUGCCACGAGAGGAAAGUCCGGGCUCCACAGGGCAGGAUGCUGGAUAACGUCCAGUCAGCGCGAGUUGAAGGAUAGUGCCACAGAAAUGGACCGCCGAUGGCCGGAUUUUUCCGGCACAGGCAAGGAUGGAACCGAGGUGUAAGAGACCCCGAGGAACGCUGGUGACUUCGUUCCUGGUAAACCCCAUCUGGAGCAAGACCUAAUGGGACACAGUCGACUCUUCGGAGAAGGCAGCCUUAGCCCGAGGUGUGUCUAGGUUGGUCGCUUGAGCUGUGCAGCAAUGUAUGGCCUAGAUAGAUGAUUGUCGCUUGUGGUGGGAGGGUAGUUCCCGUCUGAACCACGAAGAGCACAGAACCCGGCUUACGGUAAGCUUUCCUA
This 411-nucleotide RNase P RNA is filed under the name Paenibacillus sp. JNUCC31. RNAcentral's name for it is "RNase P RNA component class A". It matches the Rfam family "Bacterial RNase P class A". From Rfam's summary of the family: Ribonuclease P (RNase P) is a ubiquitous endoribonuclease, found in archaea, bacteria and eukarya as well as chloroplasts and mitochondria. The record is from RNAcentral. Lineage: Bacteria; Bacillati; Bacillota; Bacilli; Caryophanales; Paenibacillaceae.